AAUAGAUACCCGGGUAGUCCACGCCGUAAACGAUGCGAACUAGGUAUUGGGAUAAUCGACCGUCCUGGGUACCGAAGCUAACGCGUUAAGUUCGCCGCCUGGGGAGUACGAGCGCAAGCUUAAAACUCAAAGGAAUUGGCGGGGGCUUGCACAAGCGGUGGAACAUGGGGUUUAAUUCGACAGCAAGCGGAUCACCUCACCAAGGUUUGACAUCUACGGAAUCUCCUAGAAAUAGGAGAGUGCCCGCAAGGGAGCCGUAAGACAGGUGCUGCACGGUCGUCGUCAGCUCGUGGCUUGAGCUGUUCCGUGAAGUCGGGAAACGAGCGCAACCCUUAUUGCCUGUUAAAUUUCUCAGGCGAGACUGCCCUCGUAAGAGGGAGGAAGGUGGGGAUGACGUCAGAUCAGCGUGGCCUUUAUACCUUGGGCUACACCCGUGUUACAAUGGCUGGUACAGUGGGUUGCAAUAUCGCGAGAUGGAGCUAAUCCCCAAAACCAGUCCCAGUUCGGAUUGGAGUCUGCAACUCGACUCCAUGAAGUUGGAAUCGCUA
RNAcentral lists this ribosomal RNA (548 nucleotides) under uncultured bacterium. RNAcentral's name for it is "bacterial SSU rRNA". It matches the Rfam family "Bacterial small subunit ribosomal RNA", at positions 777 to 1337 of the family's 1533-position model. The record is from RNAcentral.